UGCAGUCGAACGGAAAGGCCCCUUCGGGGGUGCUCGAGUGGCGAACGGGUGAGUAACACGUGGGUGAUCUGCCCUGCACUUUGGGAUAAGCCUGGGAAACUGGGUCUAAUACCGAAUACACCUUGCUGGUUGCAUGACUGGUGGGGGAAAGCUUUUGCGGUGUGGGAUGGGCCCGCGGCCUAUCAGCUUGUUGGUGAGGUUAUGGCUUACCAAGGCGACGACGGGUAGCCGGCCUGAGAGGGUGACCGGCCACACUGGGACUGAGAUACGGCCCAGACUCCUACGGGAGGCAGCAGUGGGGAAUAUUGCACAAUGGGCGCAAGCCUGAUGCAGCGACGCCGCGUGAGGGAUGACGGCCUUCGGGUUGUAAACCUCUUUCAGCAGGGACGAAGCGCAAGUGACGGUACCUGUAGAAGAAGGACCGGCCAACUACGUGCCAGCAGCCGCGGUAAUACGUAGGGUCCGAGCGUUGUCCGGAAUUACUGGGCGUAAAGAGCUCGUAGGUGGUUUGUCGCGUUGUUCGUGAAAACUCACAGCUCAACUGUGGGCGUGCGGGCGAUACGGGCAGACUGGAGUACUGCAGGGGAGACUGGAAUUCCUGGUGUAGCGGUGGAAUGCGCAGAUAUCAGGAGGAACACCGGUGGCGAAGGCGGGUCUCUGGGCAGUAACUGACGCUGAGGAGCGAAAGCGUGGGGAGCGAACAGGAUUAGAUACCCUGGUAGUCCACGCCGUAAACGGUGGGUACUAGGUGUGGGUUUCCUUCCUUGGGAUCCGUGCCGUAGCUAACGCAUUAAGUACCCCGCCUGGGGAGUACGGCCGCAAGGCUAAAACUCAAAGAAAUUGACGGGGGCCCGCACAAGCGGCGGANCAUGUGGAUUAAUUCGAUGCAACGCGAAGAACCUUACCUGGGUUUGACAUGCACAGGACGCGUCUAGAGAUAGGCGUUCCCUUGUGGCCUGUGUGCAGNUGGUGCAUGGCUGUCGUCAGCUCGUGUCGUGAGAUGUGGGUUAAGUCCCGCAACGAGCGCAACCCUUAUCUUAUG
Molecule: ribosomal RNA, 1042 nt
Filed under: Mycobacterium sp. URHA0048
Lineage: Bacteria; Bacillati; Actinomycetota; Actinomycetes; Mycobacteriales; Mycobacteriaceae
Description: bacterial SSU rRNA
Rfam family: Bacterial small subunit ribosomal RNA
Source: RNAcentral